RNAcentral lists this ribosomal RNA (505 nucleotides) under uncultured bacterium. RNAcentral's name for it is "partial 16S ribosomal RNA". It matches the Rfam family "Bacterial small subunit ribosomal RNA", at positions 28 to 523 of the family's 1533-position model. The record is from RNAcentral.
GUUGAACGCUGGCGGCAUGCCUUACACAUGCAAGUCGAACGGCAGCAUGAUCUAGCUUGCUAGAUUGAUGGCGAGUGGCGAACGGGUGAGUAAUACAUCGGAACGUGCCCUGUAGUGGGGGAUAACUAGUCGAAAGAUUAGCUAAUACCGCAUACGACCUGAGGGUGAAAGUGGGGACCGCAAGGCCUCAUGCUAUAGGAGCGGCCGAUGUCUGAUUAGCUAGUUGGUGAGGUAAAGGCUCACCAAGGCGACGAUCAGUAGCUGGGCUGAGAGGACGAUCAGCCACACUGGGACUGAGACACGGCCCAGACUCCUACGGGAGGCAGCAGUGGGGAAUUUUGGACAAUGGGCGAAAGCCUGAUCCAGCAAUGCCGCGUGUGUGAAGAAGGCCUUCGGGUUGUAAAGCACUUUUGUCCGGAAAGAAAUGGCUCUGGUUAAUACCUGGGGUCGAUGACGGUACCGGAAGAAUAAGGACCGGCUAACUACGUGCCAGCCGCCGCAGUAA